UACGUAGGGCGCAAGCGUUAUCCGGAAUUAUUGGGCGUAAAGAGCUCGUAGGCGGUUUGUCGCGUCGGGAGUGAAAACUCAGGGCUCAACCCUGAGCGUGCUUCCGAUACGGGCAGACUAGAGGUAUGCAGGGGGAGAACGGAAUUCCUGGUGUAGCGGUGGGAAUGCGCAGAGUAUCAGGAGGAACACCGGUGGCGAAGGCGGUUCUCUGGGCAUUACCUGACGCUGAGGAGCGAAAGCAUGGGGGAGCGAACAGG
This 257-nucleotide ribosomal RNA is filed under the name uncultured bacterium. Its description in RNAcentral is "partial 16S ribosomal RNA". It matches the Rfam family "Bacterial small subunit ribosomal RNA", at positions 524 to 776 of the family's 1533-position model. The record is from RNAcentral.